GAUGAACGCUGACAGAAUGCUUAACACAUGCAAGUCUUUGGCGAAGCUGUGCUUGCACCGCCUAGCCAAGGCGGACGGGUGAGUAACGCGUAAGGAACUUGCCCUGCAGUCAGGGAUAACAGACGGAAACGACUGAUAAGACCUGGUAAAGUCAGGCGGACUCAUGUCCAGCCUGAUGAAAAGAGAUGCUGCAGGAGAGCCUUGCGUCCUAUUAGCUUGUUGGUGGGGUAACGGCCCACCAAGGCGAUGAUAGGUAGCCGGCCUGAGAGGGUGGACGGCCACAAGGGGACUGAGAUACGGCCCUUACUCCUACGGGAGGCAGCAGUGGGGAAUAUUGGACAAGGGGGGCAACCCUGAUCCAGCAAUUCUGUGUGCACGAUGAAGGUUUUCGGAUUGUAAAGUGCUUUCAGCAGGGAAGAAAAAAAUGACGGUACCUGCAGAAGAAGCGACGGCUAAAUACGUG
RNAcentral lists this ribosomal RNA (463 nucleotides) under uncultured bacterium. RNAcentral's name for it is "partial 16S ribosomal RNA". It matches the Rfam family "Bacterial small subunit ribosomal RNA", at positions 28 to 507 of the family's 1533-position model. The record is from RNAcentral.